UACGUAGGGGCCGAGCGUUGUCCGGAGUUACUGGGCGUAAAGAGCGCGCAGGCGGUCGUUCAAGUCGCGUGUGAAAGCCCCCGGCUCAACUGGGGAGGGUCACGCGAUACUGAUCGACUCGAAGGCAGGAGAGGGUAGUGGAAUUCCCGGUGUAGUGGUGAAAUGCGUAGAUAUCGGGAGGAACACCAGUGGCGAAGGCGACUACCUGGCCUGUUUCUUGACGCUGAGGCGCGAAAGCUAGGGGAGCAAACGGG
Molecule: ribosomal RNA, 254 nt
Filed under: uncultured bacterium
Lineage: Bacteria
Description: partial 16S ribosomal RNA
Rfam family: Bacterial small subunit ribosomal RNA
Source: RNAcentral